RNAcentral lists this ribosomal RNA (468 nucleotides) under uncultured bacterium. RNAcentral describes it as "partial 16S ribosomal RNA". It matches the Rfam family "Bacterial small subunit ribosomal RNA", at positions 28 to 507 of the family's 1533-position model. The record is from RNAcentral.
GACGAACGCUGGCGGCGUGCUUAACACAUGCAAGUCGAACGGAAAGGCCCUGCUUUUGUGGGGUGCUCGAGUGGCGAACGGGUGAGUAACACGUGAGUAACCUGCCCUUGACUUUGGGAUAACUUCAGGAAACUGGGGCUAAUACCGGAUAGGAGCUCCUGCUGCAUGGUGGGGGUUGGAAAGUUUCGGCGGUUGGGGAUGGACUCGCGGCUUAUCAGCUUGUUGGUGGGGUAGUGGCUUACCAAGGCUUUGACGGGUAGCCGGCCUGAGAGGGUGACCGGCCACAUUGGGGCUGAGAUACGGCCCAGACUCCUACGGGAGGCAGCAGUGGGGAAUAUUGCACAAUGGGCGGAAGCCUGAUGCAGCAACGCCGCGUGCGGGACGACGGCCUUCGGGUUGUAAACCGCUUUCGCCUGUGACGAAGCGUGAGUGACGGUAAUGGGUAAAGAAGCACCGGCUAACUACGUG